CCUACGGGCGGCAGCAGUGGGGAAUAUUGGACAAUGGGGGCAACCCUGAUCCAGCCAUGCCGCGUGUGUGAAGAAGGCCCUCGGGUUGUAAAGCACUUUCAGUGAGGAAGAACGCCUGGUGGUUAAUACCCAUCAGGAAAGACAUCACUCACAGAAGAAGCACCGGCUAACUCCGUGCCAGCAGCCGCGGUAAUACGGAGGGUGCGAGCGUUAAUCGGAAUUACUGGGCGUAAAGCGCGCGUAGGUGGCUUGAUAAGCCGGUUGUGAAAGCCCCGGGCUCAACCUGGGAACGGCAUCCGGAACUGUCAAGCUAGAGUGCAGGAGAGGAAGGUAGAAUUCCCGGUGUAGCGGUGAAAUGCGUAGAGAUCGGGAGGAAUACCAGUGGCGAAGGCGGCCUUCUGGACUGACACUGACACUGAGGUGCGAAAGCGUGGGUAGCAAACAAGAUUAGAUACCCCUGUAGUC
Molecule: ribosomal RNA, 465 nt
Filed under: Vreelandella stevensii
Lineage: Bacteria; Pseudomonadati; Pseudomonadota; Gammaproteobacteria; Oceanospirillales; Halomonadaceae
Description: partial 16S ribosomal RNA
Rfam family: Bacterial small subunit ribosomal RNA
Source: RNAcentral